UCAGUCGAAAUUAGUUCUUUGAAUGCACCGGACGCGGUCGAAGCACGAGCUUUGUGUUGUAUUUAAAAUCGCCCUUAUUUGGCCGGCAUUUUACGCGCGCUCUGUAUUUACAAUUUUCUGCAAGCGACGCGUGCAACAGGACGUAAACAAAACGCAACGAGCCACAUCAAACGGAUUUAAUCGAAGUACAAAUUAGACGAGUUACAGCAAACAAAAAAGUAAACACAAAAACCGGUUGCAAAAAUAAAACAACAUCACAACAACAGCAACAACAAUAAUAAGCAGUAGCAACAGGU
Drosophila albomicans is the source of this 296-nucleotide long non-coding RNA. RefSeq lists it as uncharacterized. Lineage: Eukaryota; Metazoa; Arthropoda; Insecta; Diptera; Drosophilidae. The transcript is spliced from 2 exons. The record is from RefSeq and is a predicted model, not a curated record.